AGCAGUAGCCGCGGUAAUACGUAGGUGGCAAGCGUUGUCCGGAAUUAUUGGGCGUAAAGCGCGCGCAGGCGGCCUAUCCAGUCUGUCUUAAGAGUUCGGGGCUCAACCCCGUGAUGGGAUGGAAACUAGUAGGCUAGGGUAUCGGAGAGGAAAGCGGAAUUCCUAGCGUAGCGGUGAAAUGCGUAGAUAUUAGGAAGAACACCAGUGGCGAAGGCGGCUUUCUGGACGAAAACUGACGCUGAGGCGCGAAAGCCAGGGGAGCGAACGGGAUUAGAUACCCGUGUAGUCCCUGUCUCUUAUACA
Molecule: ribosomal RNA, 303 nt
Filed under: uncultured bacterium
Lineage: Bacteria
Description: partial 16S ribosomal RNA
Rfam family: Bacterial small subunit ribosomal RNA
Source: RNAcentral